AUGAGACUCAUUUUUCAUCUACCAAGCGUUAUGGGAUGAAGCACCAGUCAUUAGAAAUGGAUUUUCCAUUCUGCAUCUUUUAUUGCCUGAUGGAUAAAUAAUUCUACAAGUUCUUCCGUGCUAUCCUUUGGAAACAAGAUGGGCUGUUGAAUCGUAAAGUCGGAUGAAGUUUUAACUGUUGCUGUGACUGACCUAAAGAGGAUUUGCCUCCACCAAUGCUACCCUGGAGGGAGGUCCCAACUAGGGUCCCAAAGAUAAUCCUGAGCAGGAGAUUACAUGAAUACCUCACGUCAUUGUGAUUCAGCAUUUUCAGGAAGAGCGCACCAUUGCACUAUUGAAAGUAUGGAACCUCCUGGAGUAGUUGGAGCUCACACUGAUAUAGGAAUCUGAUAAAAAAUAAAUUGAUGCUUCUUGUAUUUUGGUCAAGACUUACUGCUGUGACUUGUUCCCAUGAACCAACAUCCUCUUGUGAAGGAAGGGCCAAAGUUUCCUUUAUUCCCAAGAGAACUGAUUACAGUGACUGCUUCUAUUUUGCUCAUGUGGUGGGAUAUACUAUUGACACAGCUGUCUUAACCUAUGUGUGGCAAAAUAUUUGCUUACUAAAGACCAUUCCUCAUCACCAUUUUCCUUAGAGGAGCAUCAUGCAAAAAAGAGAAGCCCAUGGUAGUCAAGACUGUGGCAAUACUAUACUCCCCAUCAACAGCCAGAUGCAGCUAGAAGAAAACUUCCAAGAAGAGGCAGCAGAGUCUAUAAGAAGAUGUUGAACCUGUGUUGGGCAGCUGGUCUCAGCGGGGCCUGUAAGACAAGCAUCAAUUGCCAACCCUCGGCAUGUGGUUUAUUAUCAGUGAGUGGCAGUAGAGAACUGACUGAGUGCCAAGAGAAGCUGGAACCUCCUCUUGCUCAGCCACAGCACAGACCAGCAUAACCGGACCAACGGCUGGGUGCUUGGGGCAAGUCUCCCUGCAGUGAAGGGAGGAGGAAUGAGUAGUGAUGCCUGGGACAGAGAAAGUAGUGGUGUCCCUGGGGGCCAUACCUGUCUAGAGCCCAAUAUAGAGAAGGGACAGUUUCCAAGCCAGUGAAAACAGAGAUGGGUGGGAUGGACCCACAAGAGAUAUUGGAGGGAACAGGACACGGCUUUGCAUGGUUUUUUGGGGAAAGAAGUCUUCAAAUGAGAGGGAAGCCCCAGAUCUAUGUGGAGAAAUAUUGCAUCUUUUUUUUCCUUUCCUUCCAGAACCAAAGCAGUGAGAGUGGCUUUUAGAAAAUACAGAAACUGUAAACCCUGGUGUGGGGCUUGUUUGCAGUGGGUAGUGAGUGAAUGAAUAACCCAUUUAGGAUUAUAUUUUAGAUUUUGGAGUCUACAUAUAUUAGUCCAAUCUCUGUGCUCCUCCUCAAAUACUCCCUAAAGCAAUAGCCUGGAUGGACCAACACCGCCCCAAAUUAAAGGAAGAAAGAAAUUCUGGACUAAUAGACUAAAGGAUUGACUCUCAUGAUUUGAGGAGUAAAUAAAAUGUCUCCCAGUAUUUCCCAGCUUAUCUUCCCCCUCAGCUACCAUGAUCUUUUACUGCUAAUUUUUAAAACCUAAUUGCUUAAACAAACUGACCCCACUUCCUUAUUCCCCUCACUCUUCAACCUGACUUUUGUCCCCAUCUCUCCUCCAAUAGAAUUCCUGCUAAUGACCUCCAUGUCACUAAAUGCAAUGAGCAUUUUUUCAGUCUUCAUCUUACUUGACCACUCAGCAGCAUUUUUUUUUCUGUGACGCCUAAUGUCCCUCCUACCUUCCUAUCUCUUAUUUUUAGACUUAUCCUCUUUUCUUGAGACCUUAAAAGUUGGUGCCCCUCAAGAUUUAUUCCUAAACUUUUUCUCUUAAUCGACAUCCAUAGAUAUGGGAUGUCACCCCUACCCAUUUGAAGCUAUCAAAUUCUCUCAUUCAAUCAAACUUAUCAUACUAAUCAAACUUAACUCUUAUUCCCCCUUGCCCUCCCAUCCUCCAAUUCACUCUCCACAGUGUUGUUUUAAAGAAGUACUCUUGUCACUUCUCUGCCCUUGGAUAAAGACUGGCUUCUGCUUGCUUCUCCUACUGCACCACAUUCAGCUUCUAUCAACAUCCUCCUUUCAGUUCUUUCUCUUUCAAGGUCUUUGCUAAGGCAGUUACCUCUGCCUGGAAUAUUUCUACCAUUCUCUGUGCCCCCCACAACCUCAUCUAGUUCUUGCCUAAUCAUCCUUCAUGUUUUUGCCCAAAUGUUACUUCCUCAGGAAGGCUUCCUGACAACACCAAAAUAGAUCAAGUCCAUCUCUCACAUGCAGAGCCCCGUGAACUCUUCCUUUAAAGGCUUGUCACUGUUUUUAUGUAUUUGUGUGAUUAUUUAAUUAAUUCGUGUCUCUCGUAUUAGCUCCAGAAGGGGAGAUGCCUUGGCUGUUAGUUCUCUCUGCACCUCAGGAACCCAGGACAGAGAAUGAGUGAAGAAACCGAGGUCUUCCACAGCCAGAGGGCAUGGGGAUGCUGGAACACCCAGAAAUGGAUUCUUCCUGUGAGUGACAUCACACAGUUGGAUUGGAAGUUUCCUGUUCCAUCUCCAGAGGAGAUGACAGAGUGUGGCUUUAAGGAGAUACUGGGUAGGAAUAAUAUAAUUGAUUUUGUUUGAUGGUAAUCUGAGGUUUCCCCUGGCAGAAAGAUGUACAAAAGUGUGCCGUAAUAUUUAAGAAGCACAUAAUGCUUUCUAUCUCAGAACCACACUGAGAGAUUUAAGCUUGAGGCUCCUAUGAGGAGAAAAGCUGCCUUCAAAGAUCUCAGCUCCUUUUUCACUUUUUAUGUUUUUCCAGCAAAGAGCUCAAACUUGGUACUUCUACAAAUGCAUAUUUGUUAGCUGUAUUGUGACACAAUGUUUCCCAAAUUCAACUAAGGAAAAUGCCCUUCAGUCCUGUAAUGUUAAUACUCUUUCCCUUUUUAUGGCACCCACCAUCCAUUACUACCCCUCAAUCUCAGCAGGGUUGAUUUAUUUUCCAGGGAUAUUUUCUCUCUUAGAUGACCACAGUUGAUGGUGGAUUAAUCCACUCACAUGAACUGUGCUAAAGUUUUAUAGGAAUUGUGGACAUUCUGGCAGGUAAGUAAUCAGAAACACCCUUUGGCUCCCCUCAACUACCAGGUGCAGACCUUGCCUCUUGGACUGAGAAGCCUUUCAGUGAGUCAGAAGAACAGGUAAUUGCAUUAAUCUUAUGUAAACCAGUCACCAGGAAACACUUGCUAUUUAUUCCACAAUCUAUUCUCCCUCUUUCAUCAUCACCAUUUGUGUUCCACCCAUACAGCAAAGCUCAUCUAAGAGAAAAAACAUUGCCAGCAGUAUUUACCUUCUGCUCAGCAUGAGAACGUUUGUCUUUGUGCAGUGAAUACGUCUAUUUAUAAGCAAACAGUAAUACUCUGGAAAGAAAAAUGAAGUAUG
Molecule: long non-coding RNA, 3437 nt
Organism: Equus quagga
Lineage: Eukaryota; Metazoa; Chordata; Mammalia; Perissodactyla; Equidae
Exons: 7
Source: RefSeq, a predicted model, not a curated record